This 88-nucleotide non-coding RNA is filed under the name Dethiobacter alkaliphilus. Its description in RNAcentral is "c-di-GMP sequence". It matches the Rfam family "c-di-GMP-I riboswitch aptamer". From Rfam's summary of the family: GEMM was predicted in a large-scale screen for bacterial structured RNA regulatory elements. Genes associated with GEMM are involved in a diverse array of functions, including chemotaxis regulation, signal transduction, secretion and chitin. RNAcentral also lists the same sequence under 1 other name. Lineage: Bacteria; Bacillati; Bacillota; Dethiobacteria; Dethiobacterales; Dethiobacteraceae. The record is from RNAcentral.
ACUGGAUAAUGGCAAACCUGUUGAAAAGCAGGGACGCAAAGCUAAGGGUCUACGGCACAUUUUGUGUCAUGACAGCCUGGUUAUCGAA